GCGGUGGUCCCACCUGACCCCAUGCCGAACUCAGAAGUGAAACGCCGUAGCGCCGAUGGUAGUGUGGGGUCUCCCCAUGUGAGAGUAGGGAACUGCCAGGC
Molecule: ribosomal RNA, 101 nt
Filed under: Klebsiella aerogenes
Lineage: Bacteria; Pseudomonadati; Pseudomonadota; Gammaproteobacteria; Enterobacterales; Enterobacteriaceae
Also listed under: 55 other names
Source: RNAcentral